AAUAUUUGUAAAUGGUGACAACCCUGAUACAGCCAUGCCGCGUGUGUGAAGAAGGUAAUAGAUAUGUAAAGCACUUUAAGUAGAGAGAAAGGGCUAUAGAUAAAUACCCUGAAAUUUUGACGAUACCAACAGAAUAAGCACUGGCUAACUCUGUGCAUGCAGCCGCGGUAAUACAGAGGAUGCAAGCGUUAAUCGGAAUUACUGGGCGUAAAGCGCGCGUAGGUGGUUCAGUAAGAUGGGUGUGAAAUCCCCGGGCUUAACCUGGGAACUGCUUUCAUAACUGCUGAGCUAGAGUACGGUAGAGGGUAGUGGAAUUUCCUGUGUAGCGGUGAAAUGCGUAGAUAUAGGAAGGAACACCAGUGGCGAAGGCGACUACCUGGACUGAUACUGACACUGAGGUGCGAAAGCGUGGGGAGCAAAC
Molecule: ribosomal RNA, 421 nt
Filed under: uncultured bacterium
Lineage: Bacteria
Description: partial 16S ribosomal RNA
Rfam family: Bacterial small subunit ribosomal RNA
Source: RNAcentral